Molecule: long non-coding RNA, 938 nt
Filed under: Equus asinus (donkey)
Lineage: Eukaryota; Metazoa; Chordata; Mammalia; Perissodactyla; Equidae
Description: lncRNA (ENSEASG00005038015.1)
Source: RNAcentral
GGAUUGGCUCUCGCGGACGCUGACGGACAGGGCAGGGGAGGGCCAAAGCCCGGUCUGACGGGCGCGCGCGGGGGCGCGAAAGCACGAGAGCGCGGCUGCGCGUGCGCGAGCGGCGGGGCUUUCUCCCGAGCCGUCGGAGGGAGCCGGAGCGCUUCUCCAGAGUUGGUGAUCGAUUGGUCGUAAUCCAACAUGCAGAAGUGAGUGAGUGGUGAAAAGCAGCAGAGCUGAUGGGUUGUGAGGAUGUAAGUGCGUUUGAAGGCUCUCACACCCUCUACUCCAGGUACACUUUCAGGGUCUCAAAGAAGCUCCUCUGUCUGUGAAGGGGCUUGAAGAAGCAUCUUGUUUUACAUCUGAUGAAAAUGGAGGGAGCACUUCUUUUGACAGGAAACUUCACUUCUUGUUACUGAAAACCGUCACAACAGUCAUUAUGUCUGGCUUCCAGAGAUUUCCUGGAGUUAGGAGAACAAUAGAUAGUUAAAAUGGCAAUAUUGAGAGCAUUCGGUGGUUUUAUAAUGAGUACCUAGGGAAAUUUUUUCUCUUGAGUUUGUAAGAAUAAAGUAGGAAUAUUUGGGAGGUUGGGAAAAAUGUAGAAAUGAACUUUAAUGCUUUAUUUUUAAAAAUGUUCUUUCUAACCUUUGGAAGUAAAAAAUUAAUUUUAUACCAUGGUUCCCAUUAUCUUGUUACUGAGUUGACGAUGACUAAGGGAAACUUCCUUUCUUCUGUGCCUAUCUGCAUUGUAAGUAAUCCCCCAAAAAGAUACAUUUAUAUCUUUGUGUCUUUUUUGAUUAAAUGUCAUUCAGAAUUCUUGAAUCUGUUUAUUGCUUCUUAACUUUUAUAUUCGUACAGGGCUUCUGAGGCUUAUGAUUUUGACUUUAGCAGCAGGAGUUAUUUCUCUUCUUUCACCUCCAAAAACAAAAAACACUCAAGCGUUAGAAAGA